Daktulosphaira vitifoliae (grape phylloxera) is the source of this 604-nucleotide long non-coding RNA. RefSeq lists it as uncharacterized. The record is from RefSeq and is a predicted model, not a curated record. The transcript is spliced from 3 exons. Lineage: Eukaryota; Metazoa; Arthropoda; Insecta; Hemiptera; Phylloxeridae.
UAAGAUUAUAUAGUUUAUACUUAUCAGUAUUUAAAAAGCGUUAAACGAUUUAUUGCUUUCAAACGUAAUUUUGAUACCUAUCAUAACUUUUUAUUAAUAGUGUUGAAUAAUACCAUCUUAGUUACAAUGACCUGCUUCAUUAUGCUACCCAAUGACAAAUACAGUUGACCUUUUAUUAGAACCGGAUCUUUUUGUCCAAAAUAUGUAGUAUGAAAAAUAAAAUUGAAACACAUUAAAUUAAAAAUGAGUACAAAUUUUAUAAAAUUAAGUCCAGAUAAAGCAGAUAAACGGUAUUUAAUACAAAUCAAAGUACCUUCUCUCUGUUUGUAUACAAUGUUGAGUGUAUUUAUUACAUUUAUUUUUUGUAUUUUUUGGACUAUAUGGUUUCAUCUGGAAGACUCUACAGGAACUCAUUGUGGAGUAAAAAAUUAUCUACCUUCAAUAUCUACUGCAAUUGGGAAAUAUUCAAUACAACAGUUUUUGUGGAAUCUGGCAAUAUUUGCUCAUAGUCCAAUUAGAUUAGUUGUAACCAGUAUGUACUUUCAGUACUACAGUAAAAUAAUCAAAUCAUCAUUGAAUUGGUGUGUUUUACUUCUAUGGACAU